RNAcentral lists this ribosomal RNA (428 nucleotides) under Callosobruchus maculatus (cowpea weevil). RNAcentral describes it as "eukaryotic LSU rRNA". Lineage: Eukaryota; Metazoa; Arthropoda; Insecta; Coleoptera; Chrysomelidae. The record is from RNAcentral.
GGGAAAUUCAUUCGCGUCUCGGAUAUCGGCGAUGAGCAGCCGCGUGACGGAUGGCGUUCGCGUUGUCCGCGCCUUCUGUUUUUCGAACCGGUGACGAACGCGUGCACUUUUCCCCUAGUAGGACGUCGCGAUCCGUUGGGUGUCGGUCUACGGCUCGCGGUGGAGUCCGUGUGCGAUCGUUUCGGCGAUUCGUGCUCGAACCCGCGAUGUUCCGGCCGACUCGCUCGACGGUAUACAGAUGGCGCGAGGCCGCUACGUUAAUUAGCGUCCGACCCACGGCAAGCGCGUUCGAUGCUAAGACGGCGAUCGGACCUAGUGCCGAUUCCGUUUCCGGACGACUGUUGGCCGUGUGGAUCUCUCGACAGACCUCGUUCGAAACGCUGAUCUGCGACGCUAUAGCUUUGGGUACUUUCAGGACCCGUCUUGAA